GGUCAUGUGAUGAAAUGGAUAUCAUCUUCGACUUCUAAUCGAAAUUUCCGAGUUCGAUCCUCGGCAUGACUGUUGCCACGUG
RNAcentral lists this transfer RNA (82 nucleotides) under Paramecium bursaria Chlorella virus T1. Its description in RNAcentral is "tRNA-Arg". The stretch from base 1 to 72 matches the Rfam family "tRNA". Rfam says of the family: Transfer RNA (tRNA) molecules are approximately 80 nucleotides in length. Their secondary structure includes four short double-helical elements and three loops (D, anti-codon, and T loops). Further hydrogen bonds mediate the characteristic L-shaped molecular structure. tRNAs have two regions of fundamental functional importance: the anti-codon, which is responsible for specific mRNA codon recognition, and the 3' end, to which the tRNAs corresponding amino acid is attached (by aminoacyl-tRNA synthetases). tRNAs cope with the degeneracy of the genetic code in two manners: having more than one tRNA (with a specific anti-codon) for a particular amino acid; and 'wobble' base-pairing, i.e. permitting non-standard base-pairing at the 3rd anti-codon position. Lineage: Varidnaviria; Bamfordvirae; Nucleocytoviricota; Megaviricetes; Algavirales; Phycodnaviridae. The record is from RNAcentral.